RNAcentral lists this ribosomal RNA (1329 nucleotides) under Salmonella enterica. RNAcentral describes it as "partial 23S ribosomal RNA". It matches the Rfam family "Bacterial large subunit ribosomal RNA", at positions 1495 to 2802 of the family's 2925-position model. RNAcentral also lists the same sequence under 1 other name. Lineage: Bacteria; Pseudomonadati; Pseudomonadota; Gammaproteobacteria; Enterobacterales; Enterobacteriaceae. The record is from RNAcentral.
GCGACGGUUGUCCCGGUUUAAGCGUGUAGGUGUGUGUUCCAGGUAAAUCCGGUUCACUUUAACACUGAGGCGUGACGACGAGGCACUACGGUGCUGAAGCAACAAAUGCCCUGCUUCCAGGAAAAGCCUCUAAGCAUCAGGUAACAUCAAAUCGUACCCCAAACCGACACAGGUGGUCAGGUAGAGAAUACCAAGGCGCUUGAGAGAACUCGGGUGAAGGAACUAGGCAAAAUGGUGCCGUAACUUCGGGAGAAGGCACGCUGACACGUAGGUGAAGUGAUUUACUCAUGGAGCUGAAGUCAGUCGAAGAUACCAGCUGGCUGCAACUGUUUAUUAAAAACACAGCACUGUGCAAACACGAAAGUGGACGUAUACGGUGUGACGCCUGCCCGGUGCCGGAAGGUUAAUUGAUGGGGUCAGCGCAAGCGAAGCUCCUGAUCGAAGCCCCGGUAAACGGCGGCCGUAACUAUAACGGUCCUAAGGUAGCGAAAUUCCUUGUCGGGUAAGUUCCGACCUGCACGAAUGGCGUAAUGAUGGCCAGGCUGUCUCCACCCGAGACUCAGUGAAAUUGAACUCGCUGUGAAGAUGCAGUGUACCCGCGGCAAGACGGAAAGACCCCGUGAACCUUUACUAUAGCUUGACACUGAACAUUGAGCCUUGAUGUGUAGGAUAGGUGGGAGGCUUUGAAGUGUGGACGCCAGUCUGCAUGGAGCCGACCUUGAAAUACCACCCUUUAAUGUUUGAUGUUCUAACGUGGACCCGUUACCCGGGUUGCGGACAGUGUCUGGUGGGUAGUUUGACUGGGGCGGUCUCCUCCUAAAGAGUAACGGAGGAGCACGAAGGUUGGCUAAUCCUGGUCGGACAUCAGGAGGUUAGUGCAAUGGCAUAAGCCAGCUUGACUGCGAGCGUGACGGCGCGAGCAGGUGCGAAAGCAGGUCAUAGUGAUCCGGUGGUUCUGAAUGGAAGGGCCAUCGCUCAACGGAUAAAAGGUACUCCGGGGAUAACAGGCUGAUACCGCCCAAGAGUUCAUAUCGACGGCGGUGUUUGGCACCUCGAUGUCGGCUCAUCACAUCCUGGGGCUGAAGUAGGUCCCAAGGGUAUGGCUGUUCGCCAUUUAAAGUGGUACGCGAGCUGGGUUUAGAACGUCGUGAGACAGUUCGGUCCCUAUCUGCCGUGGGCGCUGGAGAACUGAGGGGGGCUGCUCCUAGUACGAGAGGACCGGAGUGGACGCAUCACUGGUGUUCGGGUUGUCAUGCCAAUGGCACUGCCCGGUAGCUAAAUGCGGAAGAGAUAAGUGCUGAAAGCAUCUAAGCACGAAACUUGCCCCGA